Non-coding RNA from Salmo salar (Atlantic salmon), 54 nucleotides. Lineage: Eukaryota; Metazoa; Chordata; Actinopteri; Salmoniformes; Salmonidae. The record is from Rfam.
GAAUGCAAUAAUUGUAAGUUGCUAUGGAUAAGAGCAUCUGCUAAAUGACUUAAA